Molecule: ribosomal RNA, 443 nt
Filed under: uncultured bacterium
Lineage: Bacteria
Description: partial 16S ribosomal RNA
Rfam family: Bacterial small subunit ribosomal RNA
Source: RNAcentral
CCUACGGGAGGCUGCAGUGGGGGAUAUUGGACAAUGGGGGAAACCCUGAUCCAGCGACGCCGCGUGAGUGAAGAAGUAUUUCGGUAUGUAAAGCUCUAUCAGCAGGGGAGAAAGAAAUGACGGUACCUGAGUAAGAAGCCCCGGCUAACGACGUGCCAGCAGCCGCGGUAAUACGUAGGGGGCAAGCGUUAUCCGGAAUUACUGGGUGUAAAGGGAGCGUAGACGGUAAUGCAAGUCUGGUGUGAAAGGCGGCGGCCCACCCCCCGGACUGCUCUGGACACUGGGUGCCUGGAGUGCAGGGGAGGCAGGCGGAAUUCGUGGUGUAGCGGUGAAAUGCGUAGAUAUUAGGAGGAACACCAGUGGCGAAGGCAGCCUGCUAGACUGUAACUGACGUUGAGGCUCGAAAGCGUGGGGAGCAAACAGGACUAGAUACCCUGGUAGUC